Non-coding RNA from Cladobotryum mycophilum, 89 nucleotides. NCBI's taxonomy places the organism in Eukaryota, Fungi, Ascomycota, Sordariomycetes, Hypocreales, Hypocreaceae. The record is from the annotation of a GenBank genome assembly.
UGCACAAGCCGGGAUUCGAACCCGGGACGCAUGCUUAUUAGCGAUAGAAGCUUGGGAAGCAUGCAUGCUAACCACUACACUACUUGUGC